This 242-nucleotide ribosomal RNA is filed under the name uncultured bacterium. RNAcentral describes it as "partial 16S ribosomal RNA". It matches the Rfam family "Bacterial small subunit ribosomal RNA", at positions 15 to 248 of the family's 1533-position model. The record is from RNAcentral.
GAUACUGGCUCAGGAUGAACGCUAGCUACAGGCUUAACACAUGCAAGUCGAGGGGCAGCAUGAACUUAGCUUGCUAAGUUUGAUGGNGACCGGCGCACGGGUGAGUAACACGUAUCCAACCUUCCGUUUACUCAGGGAUAGCCUUUCGAAAGAAAGAUUAAUACCUGAUAGUAUGGUGAGAUUGCAUGAUAACACCAUUAAAGAUUUAUUGGUAAACGAUGGGGAUGCGUUCCAUUAGGUAG